AUGAAGCAAAAAGUUGUGAGCAGAUUUGGUUCAAUUUCUACCAUUUGCCUGAUCAUCGACACGAAAGAGGUACUCAGAAAGUUAAAACGCAAAAUCCCUUGUCUUCUGAGUACAGCCGGAGGAGACAUUUGAAAAUUUCGACAGCUUUCAUC
Molecule: long non-coding RNA, 152 nt
Organism: Hypanus sabinus (Atlantic stingray)
Lineage: Eukaryota; Metazoa; Chordata; Chondrichthyes; Myliobatiformes; Dasyatidae
Exons: 3
Source: RefSeq, a predicted model, not a curated record